AACAAACGCUGGCGGCGUGCCUAACACAUGCAAGUCGUACGAGAAGUCGGCUUCGGCCGAUGAGUACAGUGGCGCACGGGUGAGUAGCGCGUGGGUAAUCUGCCCCCGGUCAGGAAUAACCCGCCGAAAGGCGGGCUAAUACCCGAUAACACUGACGCUCCGCGGAGCGUCUUUCAAAGGAGGCCUCUGUUUACAAGCUUUCGCCGGAGGAUGAGCCCGCGUACCAUUAGCUAGUUGGCAGGGUAAUGGCCUACCAAGGCUGCGAUGGUUAGCUGGUCUGAGAGGAUGGCCAGCCACACUGGAACUGAGACACGGUCCAGACUCCUACGGGAGGCAGCAGUGAGGAAUCUUGCGCAAUGGGGGAAACCCUGACGCAGCAACGCCGCGUGAGUGAGGAAGGCCUUCGGGUCGUAAAGCUCUGUCAGAUGGGAAGAAAUGGGUGGGGGCUAAUAUCGCCCAUCCUUGACGGUACCAUCAGAGGAAGCACCGGCUAACUCCGUG
This 501-nucleotide ribosomal RNA is filed under the name uncultured bacterium. Its description in RNAcentral is "bacterial SSU rRNA". It matches the Rfam family "Bacterial small subunit ribosomal RNA", at positions 29 to 507 of the family's 1533-position model. The record is from RNAcentral.